Molecule: ribosomal RNA, 245 nt
Filed under: uncultured bacterium
Lineage: Bacteria
Description: partial 16S ribosomal RNA
Rfam family: Bacterial small subunit ribosomal RNA
Source: RNAcentral
UACGUAGGGGGCAAGCGUUGUCCGGAAUCAUUGGGCGUAAAGCGCGUGUAGGCGGCUCGAUAAGUCUGCUGUGAAAGUCCAGGGCUCAACCCUGGGAUGCCGGUGGAUACUGUCGAGCUCGAGUCCGGAAGAGGCGAGUGGAAUCCUGGUGUAGCGGUGAAAUGCGCAGAUAUCAGGAGGAACACCGAUGGCGAAGGCAGCUCGCUGGGACGUGACGACGCUGGAGACGCGAAAGCGUGGGAGCA